Non-coding RNA from Podarcis lilfordi (Lilford's wall lizard), 834 nucleotides. Lineage: Eukaryota; Metazoa; Chordata; Lepidosauria; Squamata; Lacertidae. The record is from the annotation of a GenBank genome assembly.
CAUUCCGUUCUGAGACUGAUUAAAUGCAGACUCCAUCAAUGGCUCUUAACAUCAGCCAUUUUCUGCCAACCCUCUCUUCCCACCCCCUUGUUUUGUUUACCAUAAAACCUGAUGAAGAGUUCUGGAGAACUCAAAAACUUCUAAGCUGCUUUGUAAUUUUUUGGUUGGCCUAACCAAGAUAUGGCCCUUUUGUGUGAGUGUGGCAGGAUACCCAUCAAAACAUUAUUUAAUAUAGAAGAUAGAUGAUAAUUUGAAAAUAGGGUAAGUCAAGAUGUCUUAUCAAAGAUAAGCCUGCAGUGAUAACAGAAAUGAAAUUAGAUUUGUAAUGAAUUUAUGGUUGAGAGGAAUCCAGAUGUUUCAUUUUGAGUUUCCCAUCACUUUUUAAUAUUAUUUAUUUUAAUUUGUUGUCAUCUGACAUUGUGAUUAAUAUGUGCAUAAUUACCGUAAGCUUUAGAUGAGACUCAUUGGUAGUUUCAUUUGGACUUGUUUUCUCUCUAACUUGUUUGCUCCCCAUCCUGUCUUCCCAGGGCAGUUUUAAAAUAAAUCUCGCAACUGAAUCUUAGGGCUUAUUUUGAAACAAAAUUCUUUUGCUGCACAGGACUCAAGACGAAAUGUACCUUGGAUACGGAAAUUGAGACGGGAGGCUUGCAGCCAAAGUGGUUUCCUUGCAAGAGAAGGUAACAAUUCAAGAAAUGGCAAUGGACAGUUUUUUAAAAAGAAGGAGCCAAGAGUGCAGCGUCUUCUGUUGUUGCCUUUCAUCCUUAUAUUUAAUGUUAAAAGUUAAGUGGAUGUUGUGAAGUAACAUUAAAACCAAAGCCAGAAAUAUGAAACAAA